RNAcentral lists this small RNA (30 nucleotides) under Bombyx mori (domestic silkworm). Its description in RNAcentral is "ovarian small RNA-25991". Lineage: Eukaryota; Metazoa; Arthropoda; Insecta; Lepidoptera; Bombycidae. The record is from RNAcentral.
UCAUAUGUGGUCCGCCGCAAUGGCUGCAGC